RNAcentral lists this small nuclear RNA (164 nucleotides) under Podarcis muralis (Common wall lizard). RNAcentral describes it as "U1 spliceosomal RNA (ENSPMRG00000010123.1)". It matches the Rfam family "U1 spliceosomal RNA". Rfam says of the family: U1 is a small nuclear RNA (snRNA) component of the spliceosome (involved in pre-mRNA splicing). Its 5' end forms complementary base pairs with the 5' splice junction, thus defining the 5' donor site of an intron. The record is from Rfam by way of RNAcentral. Lineage: Eukaryota; Metazoa; Chordata; Lepidosauria; Squamata; Lacertidae.
AUACUUACCUGGCAGGGGAGACACCAUGAUCACAAAGGUGGUUUUCCCAGGGUGAGGCUCAUCCAUUGCACUUCGGGUGUGCUGACCCCUGCGAUUUCCCCAAAUGCGGGAAACUCGACUGCAUAAUUUGUGGUAGUGGGGGACUGCGUUCGCGCUUUCCCCUG